This 247-nucleotide ribosomal RNA is filed under the name uncultured bacterium. RNAcentral's name for it is "partial 16S ribosomal RNA". It matches the Rfam family "Bacterial small subunit ribosomal RNA", at positions 523 to 769 of the family's 1533-position model. The record is from RNAcentral.
AUACGUAGGGGGCUAGCGUUAUCCGGGAUUUACUGGGCGUAAAGGGUGCGUAGGUGGUUUCUUAAGUCAGGAGUGAAAGGCUACGGCUCAACCGUAGUAAGCCUUUGAAACUGGGAAACUUGAGUGCAGGAGAGGAGAGUGGAAUUCCUAGUGUAGCGGUGAAAUGCGUAGAUAUUAGGAGGAACACCAGUUGCGAAGGCGGCUCUCUGGACUGUAACUGACACUGAGGCACGAAAGCGUGGGGAGC